UGCGUAGGCGGCUUUUUAAGUCGGAUGUGAAAUCCCUGAGCUUAACUUAGGAAUUGCAUUCGACACUGGGAAGCUAGAGUAUGGGAGAGGAUGGUAGAAUUCCAGGUGUAGCGGUGAAAUGCGUAGAGAUCUGGAGGAAUACCGAUGGCGAAGGCAGCCAUCUGGCCUAAUACUGACGCUGAGGUACGAAAGCAUGGGGAGCAAACA
RNAcentral lists this ribosomal RNA (207 nucleotides) under uncultured bacterium. RNAcentral describes it as "partial 16S ribosomal RNA". It matches the Rfam family "Bacterial small subunit ribosomal RNA", at positions 568 to 774 of the family's 1533-position model. The record is from RNAcentral.